RNAcentral lists this ribosomal RNA (265 nucleotides) under uncultured prokaryote. Its description in RNAcentral is "partial 16S ribosomal RNA". It matches the Rfam family "Bacterial small subunit ribosomal RNA", at positions 524 to 788 of the family's 1533-position model. The record is from RNAcentral.
UACGGAGGAUCCGAGCGUUAUCCGGAUUUAUUGGGUUUAAAGGGUGCGCAGGCGGGAGAUUAAGUCGGCGGUGAAAUUUUGCAGCUCAACUGUAAAAGUGCCUUCGAUACUGGUUUCCUUGAGUGUGGAUGAAGUAGGCGGAAUUUGUGGUGUAGCGGUGAAAUGCUUAGAUAUCACGAGGAACUCCGAUUGCGCAGGCAGCUCACUAAACCACUACUGACGCUCAGGCACGGAGGCGUGGGGAUCAAACAGGAUUAGAUACCCU